This 468-nucleotide ribosomal RNA is filed under the name uncultured bacterium. RNAcentral's name for it is "partial 16S ribosomal RNA". It matches the Rfam family "Bacterial small subunit ribosomal RNA", at positions 28 to 507 of the family's 1533-position model. The record is from RNAcentral.
GACGAACGCUGGCGGCGUGCUUAACACAUGCAAGUCGAACGGAAAGGCCCUGCUUUUGUGGGGUGCUCGAGUGGCGAACGGGUGAGUAACACGUGAGUAACCUGCCCUUGACUUUGGGAUAACUUCAGGAAACUGGGGCUAAUACCGGAUAGGAGCUCCUGCUGCAUGGUGGGGGUUGGAAAGUUUCGGCGGUUGGGGAUGGACUCGCGGCUUAUCAGCUUGUUGGUGGGGUAGUGGCUUACCAAGGCUUUGACGGGUAGCCGGCCUGAGAGGGUGACCGGCCACAUUGGGACUGAGAUACGGCCCAGACUCCUACGGGAGGCAGCAGUGGAGAAUAUUGCACAAUGGGCGGAAGCCUGAUGCAGCAACGCCGCGUGCGGGAUGACGGCCUUCGGGUUGCAAACCGCUUUCGCCUGUGACGAAGCGUGAGUGACGGUAAUGGGUAAAGAAGCACCGGCUAACUACGUG